UACGUAGGGACCAAGCGUUGUUCGGAUUUACUGGGCGUAAAGGGCGCGUAGGCGGCGCGGUAAGUCACUUGUGAAAUCUCUGAGCUUAACUCGGGAACUGCGUCCGAUACUGGCGGGCUUGAAUCCGGGAGAGGGAUGCGGAAUUCCAGGUGUAGCGGUGAAAUGCGUAGAUAUCUGGAGGAACACCGGUGGCGAAGGCGGCAUCCUGGACCGGCAUUGACGCUGAGGCGCGAAAGCUAGGGGAGCAAACGGG
RNAcentral lists this ribosomal RNA (253 nucleotides) under uncultured bacterium. Its description in RNAcentral is "partial 16S ribosomal RNA". It matches the Rfam family "Bacterial small subunit ribosomal RNA", at positions 524 to 776 of the family's 1533-position model. The record is from RNAcentral.